UGGGGAAUUUUGGACAAUGGGGGAAACCCUGAUCCAGCCAUCCCGCGUGUGCGAUGAAGGCCUUCGGGUUGUAAAGUACUUUUGGCAGGAAAGAAACGUCAUGGGUUAAUACCCCGUGAAACUGACGGUACCUGCAGAAUAAGCACCGGCUAACUACGUGCCAGCAGCCGCGGUAAUACGUAGGGUGCAAGCGUUAAUCGGAAUUACUGGGCGUAAAGCGUGCGCAGGCGGUUCGGAAAGAAAGAUGUGAAAUCCCAGAGCUCAACUUUGGAACUGCAUUUUUAACUACCGGGCUAGAGUGUGUCAGAGGGAGGUGGAAUUCCGCGUGUAGCAGUGAAAUGCGUAGAUAUGCGGAGGAACACCGAUGGCGAAGGCAGCCUCCUGGGAUAACACUGACGCUCAUGCACGAAAGCGUGGGGAGCAAACAGG
This 429-nucleotide ribosomal RNA is filed under the name Acidobacteriota bacterium. RNAcentral describes it as "Acidobacteria bacterium partial 16S ribosomal RNA". It matches the Rfam family "Bacterial small subunit ribosomal RNA", at positions 355 to 776 of the family's 1533-position model. The record is from RNAcentral. Lineage: Bacteria; Pseudomonadati; Acidobacteriota.